Phacochoerus africanus (Common warthog) is the source of this 387-nucleotide long non-coding RNA. RefSeq lists it as uncharacterized. NCBI's taxonomy places the organism in Eukaryota, Metazoa, Chordata, Mammalia, Artiodactyla, Suidae. The transcript is spliced from 3 exons. The record is from RefSeq and is a predicted model, not a curated record.
UCAUGUCUCUGAAACUUCUCAAGGCAGGGCGUGAUGCUGCUGUGAUGUUCGUUCCUGGGGCUGGGGGAGAGUGAUGGUCCACAUGGGGCUCCUGGCUCAGGAAAGAAGGCUUCAAGCGGGGGCGGGAUCUGGAGGAGGGUCCCCUGCAGGCACUGGCAUGGAGAACGGUGAUGAUGGUGAGAAGCAGGGCAGCUGGGCCUCCAGGACAGACCCACAAUGUGCAGCAGCAUGAGUGAACACUAAUGGAAACUGUGGACUUCGGGUGAUUAUGAAGUGUCCAUGCAGCUUCAGCUGUGACCUGUACUGUUGGGGGGUAUUGAUAAUGGGGGAGACUGUGACUGUGUACGGAUAGAGGUUUUGGAGUAAAUUUUUGUGCCUUCCUUUCGA